GGAAAGAAGAACUGUUGCAUUUGCCCUGUGCCCAAUUUGCACAGGGUAAAUGCAAUAGUUCUUCUUUCCC
MicroRNA precursor from Cercocebus atys (sooty mangabey), 70 nucleotides. NCBI's taxonomy places the organism in Eukaryota, Metazoa, Chordata, Mammalia, Primates, Cercopithecidae. The record is from Ensembl.